Molecule: ribosomal RNA, 460 nt
Filed under: uncultured bacterium
Lineage: Bacteria
Description: partial 16S ribosomal RNA
Rfam family: Bacterial small subunit ribosomal RNA
Source: RNAcentral
CCUACGGGUGGCUGCAGUGAGGAAUAUUGGUCAAUGGACGAGAGUCUGAACCAGUCAAGUAGCGUGAAGGAUGACUGUCCUAUGGGUUGUAAACUUCUUUUAUAUGGGAAUAAAACGUUCCACGUGUGGGAUUUUGUAUGUACCCUAUGAAUAAGGAUCGGCUAACUCCGUGCCAGCAGCCGCGGUAAUACGGAGGAUCCGAGCGUUAUCCGGAUUUAUUGGGUUUAAAGGGAGCGUAGGUGGAUUGUUAAGUCAGUUGUGAAAGUUUGCGGCUCAACCGUAAAAUUGCAGUUGAAACUGGCAGUCUUGAGUACAGUAGAGGUGGGCGGAAUUCGUGGUGUAGCGGUGAAAUGCUUAGAUAUCACGAAGAACUCCGAUUGCGAAGGCAGUUCACUGGACUGCAACUGACACUGAGGCUCGAAAGUGUGGGUAUCAAACAGGAUUAGAUACCCUUGUAGUC